ACGCUGGCGGCGUGCUUAACACAUGCAAGUCGAACGAUGAAGCCUAGCUUGCUAGGUGGAUUAGUGGCGAACGGGUGAGUAAUACGUGAGUAACCUACCUUUAACUCUGGGAUAAGCCCGGGAAACUGGGUCUAAUACCGGAUACGACCAAUCUCCGCAUGGGGUGUUGGUGGAAAGCGUUAUGUAGUGGUUAUAGAUGGGCUCACGGCCUAUCAGCUUGUUGGUGAGGUAACGGCUCACCAAGGCGACGACGGGUAGCCGGCCUGAGAGGGUGACCGGCCACACUGGGACUGAGACACGGCCCAGACUCCUACGGGAGGCAGCAGUGGGGAAUAUUGCACAAUGGGCGCAAGCCUGAUGCAGCGACGCCGCGUGAGGGAUGACGGCCUUCGGGUUGUAAACCUCUGUUAGCAGGGAAGAAGAGAAAUUGACGGUACCUGCAGAGAAAGCGCCGGCUAACUACGUGCCAGCAGCCGCGGUAAUACGUAGGGCGCGAGCGUUGUCCGGAAUUAUUGGGCGUAAAGAGCUUGUAGGCGGUUUGUCGCGUCUGCUGUGAAAGGCCGGGGCUUAACCCCGUGUAUUGCAGUGGGUACGGGCAGACUAGAGUGCAGUAGGGGAGACUGGAACUUCUGGUGUAGCGGUGGAAUGCGCAGAUAUCAGGAAGAACACCGAUGGCGAAGGCAGGUCUCUGGGCUGUAACUGACGCUGAGAAGCGAAAGCAUGGGGAGCGAACAGGAUUAGAUACCCUGGUAGCCCAUGCCGUAAACGUUGGGCACUAGGUGUGGGGGACAUUCCACGUUUUCCGCGCCGUAGCUAACGCAUUAAGUGCCCCGCCUGGGGAGUACGGCCGCAAGGCUAAAACUCAAAGAAAUUGACGGGGGCCCGCACAAGCGGCGGAGCAUGCGGAUUA
This 910-nucleotide ribosomal RNA is filed under the name uncultured bacterium. RNAcentral describes it as "bacterial SSU rRNA". It matches the Rfam family "Bacterial small subunit ribosomal RNA", at positions 33 to 948 of the family's 1533-position model. The record is from RNAcentral.